This 200-nucleotide long non-coding RNA is filed under the name Ictidomys tridecemlineatus (thirteen-lined ground squirrel). Its description in RNAcentral is "lncRNA (ENSSTOG00000029364.1)". Lineage: Eukaryota; Metazoa; Chordata; Mammalia; Rodentia; Sciuridae. The record is from RNAcentral.
GUCAUCUGACUUGGGUCAGCUGACCUACAUGUUGCGCCCAGACUGGCAGUUUGACAUCACUGACCUUGUGACAGAGUUCAUGAAGGUGGAGGAGCCCAGAGUCGCCCAGUUACAGGAUGGCAGGACCCUGGUUGGUCGGGAGCCAGGAAUCACCACUGUUCAGGUCCUCUCACCUCUCUCUGACUCCAUCCUGACUGAGA